UACGAAGGGGGCUAGCGUUGCUCGGAAUCACUGGGCGUAAAGGGUGCGUAGGCGGGUCUUUUAAGUCAGGGGUGAAAUCCUGGAGCUCAACUCCAGAACUGCCUUUGAUACUGGAGAGCUUGAGUCCGGAAGAGGUGAGUGGAACUCCGAGUGUAGAGGUGAAAUUCGUAGAUAUUCGGAAGAACACCAGCGGCGAAGGCGGCUCACUGGUCCGGUACUGACGCUGAGGUGCGAAAGCGUGGGGAGCAAACAGG
Molecule: ribosomal RNA, 254 nt
Filed under: uncultured bacterium
Lineage: Bacteria
Description: partial 16S ribosomal RNA
Rfam family: Bacterial small subunit ribosomal RNA
Source: RNAcentral